Molecule: RNA transcript, 1778 nt
Organism: Harpia harpyja (harpy eagle)
Lineage: Eukaryota; Metazoa; Chordata; Aves; Accipitriformes; Accipitridae
Gene: PTRHD1
Gene name: peptidyl-tRNA hydrolase domain containing 1
Exons: 3
Source: RefSeq, a predicted model, not a curated record
CGCGGCCGCCCCUCCCAGUAGGCUGUGCGGCCGCCGUACGGCAACAUGGCGGCGCCCGGACCGGCAGCGGCGGCGGCGCUGGUACAGUACGUGGUGCUGCGGGGGGACCUGGGCCGCCCGCCGCGGUCGUGGCCGUUGGGCGCGGUAGUGGCUCAGGGAUGCCACGCCGCCCUGGCAGCCGCGCAUGCGCACCGCCAGCACCCCGACACCCGCGCCUACCUGGAGUUGGGCGGCGCCAUGCGCACCGUCGUGCUGGAGGCUCCGGAUGAAGCCGCCCUGACGGCGCUGGCAGAGAUCCUGAAGCAGCACGGCAUCGACCACGAAGUGUGGACCGAGCAGCCCGAGAACGUGGCCACGUGCCUGGCGCUCAGGCCCUACCCAAAGGACCAAGUGCACCAGCACCUGAAGAAAUUUAAAUUGCUGAAGUGAGCAGGAACGGGCACGGGCAGCUCUCCUCCUGAGGCAGAGCCGAGCUCACCCCCGGACAGGCGCCGGGAGGAAAGCUGCUGUGUCUCGGGAGCGCUGUGCUAAUGCUCAGCAGCAGCACUUUCAGAUUUAAGAUGCUGGUUUUUGCCACCAAACCCCACAGACCGGCUAAUUUCCAGCUCUCCCCAGCGUGAUGAACCGUGGUGAAAGAGGGGUUCCCGGUGCGAGGACCCCGUCUGCCCACACCUCCUGCCCCGGCAAACGGCCCCGGCACCGCUCCGGCAUCCCCGUCGGCACAGAAACAACGAAACGUUAGCUGGCAACUCCGGUUCUUUUUUUGUUUGUUUGUUUGGGUUUUUUUUUUUUUGUCAUCUUUAACUCUUGCAAAUGUCAAUCAACAAAGCUACACAUUUUUCCACACACCAGCGCAAUUUUUAGAGGGAAAAAAAAAAAUCCCCCGUAGCCGCCCUCCCCCCAUAAAAGUCAGCAGUGAAUAUUAAAAGCGACCCCCAACUAAAAGAGAAGAAAACAAAUUUAUACAGAGCUCAGAGCUAUUUACAGUGACAGGCUUGAGGGGAAAAAAAAUAAGCUAUCUCCCAACAGAGAAUUCAAUUAUUAUUAUUAUUAUUUUAUUAUUAUUAUUUUAAAUAGUUUAAGCUACCUCAGCUGUUAAACACAAUCAAAGCAGAAAGAACCGACUGCUUAAUUUUAUUUAAUAUUUAAUCAGAAAAUUUUAUCUACAAUAAUUGACAGACCCCUCCCCCCAUCCUUCCCCCUAAAAAUUAUUGCCGUUUUUUCCCCAAACUGUUCUUUUUUUGUCUUUUUUUGUCUUUUUUUUUUUUCUCCUCCUGUUGUAAUAUACACAUUGUAGCCCCCCUCCCCGUUUCGCCUGGAGGCCUGAAACCAGCAUAAAACAUGGAAAAAAUGGUGGGUCAAAAUACUCUGUUUUGUUUUUUUUUUUUUUUUUCUUUAAAACCGACAAACUCACGAUUGCUAGAAAAAGCUGAUUGUACGCACAAGCGGGCUGGGGCGGAGGGGAGAGAAGGGGUUUUGUUUAAGCGUGAAUAAAAAACCGGCUUUUCCCGCAGAAGUCCAGCGCCGAUCCCCUUCCGUGCCCCGCGCCGAGACGUGAUCAGUGACAGAUCCAGCUGAAACUGAGAUUGCUCUUCCUCCUCCUCCUCCUGCCGCCGCCGCAGUCCUCCAGCUGCCUUCUCCCCCUCCCCGCCUCCCCGAGAAACCUUCCUCCAGAUUAAGAAGCCAGCAAAAUGAUUACAAAAAUAAGAAUCAUCUGUAAUUUUGGCUCGAGAAACCGACUGUCCCGCCUCGUCGCUUCGCCGACAUCCAAUGCUUUU